Non-coding RNA from Salvia hispanica, 1428 nucleotides. The record is from RefSeq and is a predicted model, not a curated record. NCBI's taxonomy places the organism in Eukaryota, Viridiplantae, Streptophyta, Magnoliopsida, Lamiales, Lamiaceae.
UAUAUUCUGAAAGGUAAACAAAUUUAAUUCCUAAUCUCGAAAGGUACAGACCCCGUAUUUCGAAAUCUCUCAGCUAAAAUUCCCUUCAAAUCGGCGCUCCACUCUCUGGCGGAACUCGCCUUGCCUCGCCGCCCUUCCUCACCGGGUUUUCUUUCACCGUCCGCCUGCUUUACCAGCCCCGUCGGAUUCCGGUAUUAAUGAAGAUCUCUAACCUUUUGGAAGGGGAUUCUGAGUGUGGCAUAAUGAACAAAAGUGCCAAAAAGGGUCGUUUAUGUGUAAGAAAAUACACGACACUGAGAGAUAUUUUUUUUGCAAAUCUACCGGAAGAGAUUACGAUAGAGAUCUUACAAAGACUCCCCAUAAGGAGCGUUAUGACGUGCAAGUGUGUUCUUAAAUCAUGGCGCCAUCUGAUUGAGGGGGAUGCCUUUGGGAUGUCGUAUACUCCGAAACCAGGCCAAUUUUUCGUGUAUGUUGACUUGGAAAUGAGUUGCUUCAGCUAAUGGUUUGCUUUCAGUGUGGGAUCUAAGGUAUAACAUUCUAUUUAUAUGCAAUCCAAUGACUCGAGAGCAUGUCGAGCUCCCUCCUCUAUCUAAGUUCAAUGGAUGUUGCUUUUAUGGAUUAGGAGUGAGCAAAACAAGUGGUCAUAUAAGAUUGUAUAUGUUGAUAAAGAUAGUUGUUGGGUAUACACUCUAGGAACAGGGCCGUGGAGAAGCAUUAAAGCAACUGAUUCAUGCGCUGGUUCAUUGAGUUUGGUUGGUGCUGCAUUUUUUAAUGGAAAUCUUCACUGGUUGACAUAUGAUUCGAAAGAUAAUCUCUUUGUUUGUUGCUUUGAUUUGGAAGGUGAGCUCUUUAUCCAUUUUUCUCUUCCUUGUGAGUUUGGGGGCGAUACAUAUAGCUCCCAGGAGAUAUGUAUUUUUGAGGGUCGGCUAUGUUUAAGUGGUGUUUUAAAUAGGCGUCAUAUCGUUAUUUGGAUGAUGUACAACUAUGGAGAUGAUAAAUCUUGGAAAAAGGAAUAUAGCUUUGACUUACCCACAAAUUAUUCAAAGAGGCACGGCCUCAAAUUCUUGGUGAAUGGCGAAUUGUUGAUAGCAGUACCAGGUUUUUAUCCGUGCACAACUCAUGAUCCACUAGUUUUUAUCAACACCAAAAACAAUGAAGCUCCGGUGGCAUGUGAGACAUAUGGUCAUUUGAAAAAAACUUAUUCUUCAAGUGACCAAACUUAUUCUUCCUGUAUUGCUACUUAUACCCCAACCUUAAUUUCACUCACCACCAUGGGGUGUCAUAAUGUUCAGCUGUUAAAAUUUUUGUAGGAGUAUUAGUUAAACAUAUAAACAGAUUGUACUUAUGUAUUUUUGGUUUAUUUAUAUGCUUCUUAUUUACAUAAUUGUAAACUUCUUGGCUAUCUAUAGAAUUUGUCAGCGUUUGUUA